UACAGAGGUCUCAAGCGUUGUUCGGAUUCAUUGGGCGUAAAGGGUGCGUAGGCGGCGCGGUAAGUCGGGUGUGAAAUCUUGGAGCUUAACUCCGAAACUGCAUUCGAUACUGCCGUGCUUGAGGACUGGAGAGGAGACUGGAAUUCAUGGUGUAGCAGUGAAAUGCGUAGAGAUCAUGAGGAAGACCAGUGGCGAAGGCGGGUCUCUGGACAGUUCCUGACACUGAGACACGAAGGCCAGGGGAGCAAACAGG
Molecule: ribosomal RNA, 253 nt
Filed under: uncultured bacterium
Lineage: Bacteria
Description: partial 16S ribosomal RNA
Rfam family: Bacterial small subunit ribosomal RNA
Source: RNAcentral